This 416-nucleotide unclassified non-coding RNA is filed under the name soil metagenome. RNAcentral describes it as "partial contains 5.8S ribosomal RNA, internal transcribed spacer 2, and large subunit ribosomal RNA". The stretch from base 1 to 120 matches the Rfam family "5.8S ribosomal RNA", at positions 35 to 154 of the family's 154-position model. The record is from RNAcentral.
GAUGAAGAACGUAGCGAAAUGCGAUAAGUAAUGUGAAUUGCAGAAUUCAGUGAAUCAUCGAAUCUUUGAACGCACCUUGCACUCCUUGGUAUUCCGAGGAGUACGCCUGUUCGAGUGUUAUGAAGCUCUCAAAACGCAAUUGGCUUAAAACCUGAUUGUUGUCUUGGAUUUGAACUUUGCCGUGUUAUAACGGCUGGUUUUAAAAGUAUUAGCUGGUACUAGAACGAAUUGGUUCUACUCAACGUGAUAAUUAUCUGAUCGUUGAGGACAUUCCUUUCACGAGGAAUGGCCAUAGUAAAUUCAAUGGACUGCUUCUAAUCUGGCUUUAAUUCUUUAUUGGAUUAACCACUUUUCAAAUCUGACCUCGAAUCAGGUGGGACUACCCGCUGAACUUAAGCAUAUCAAUAAGCGGAGGA